UCAAUACAACCAACGUUUCAUGAGGCAGUUUUUGCGAUGGUUGAAAUUUGUUCAAAUCUUUUAUGUCGAAUCUGGCUGGAAUUUCUUGAGCGCAUCAAGCUUGAUUUGCCAAAUAAUUGUGCGAUUUAUGUCUGUAAAUAUAUGAUUCAUUUGAAGUUCAAUAAUUAAAUAUGUCACAUUUUAUUUCAAUAGUUCAGUUCAGUGUUAAACAUUAAAGACAUUUUCCCGACAGAUAAUUAUGAAAGAUAAGAUAAUUAAUUGGAGCGACUAAUAUUUUCGAAAAAUUUACUCAUACACAUUUCCAAUAAAACUGGUCAGCAAUAUUCGCACGACCCUUUUCGUCUUCUUCGCCACAUAAUGGGACAGAUUUCGUUGAAUGAGGCAUCGUACCGGCGUACUCCUCGCCUUCACAAUUAUUUUAUGGGGACACACCCAUCUCCUCCCGCCGCGGGGCCCAACAAGGAGGGCCUGUCCCUUAUCAAGGAAAUCGGGUCAAGGAUCACAAUCUUCACGGAAGAGAAGAGGGCAACGUCUUUUCUCCUCCAAAGGAUGAGCAUUGCAGUACAGCGUGGAAAUGUUGCUGCAAUUUUAGGAUCUCUUCCAACCGGUCGAGAGCUGGAGGAGAUAUUUUUACUAUAAGACGACGAAAUAGGUUUUUUUACAUUAAAUUUCAGAUAGGGAAAUUGUGUGAGGCGCUGGUCGUUUAGCUUUUUUAAAAUAUAAGAUGUUAAUAAGUACUCUACUCUGCGAUACAAUUCAUACUUUUAACGAGUAAUGAAACUUAAAAUGAUGUAAUAUUACUAAGCGGCUUAGUAAUGUUACAUACUUUAAACAAAUUGGUAUAUUUCAGUACAUACAUAUCUCUAAUCUACUAAAGGUAAAUAAUUUUAAUGCAUGUACUUAUUCACAUUCGGCUCAACCACUAAAUCAUUUCUUAAUAAUAAUUGCAUACGUUUACAUACAUUUAUAAAACAAAUUUCAAAUCAAACAAUCAUCUAAACUUAACUUUUUAAAAAAUACUUAAUUGUAGUAACAUUGUUAUCUCUGUAUAUUAAUCAUUCCUAUUCCGACCCCAAAAUUUCAUCAAUUUUUUUUUAAAAUUCUUCCCCUCUUUAUCCUUAACAAACCCCAAACUCUCCCUCAACUCUUCAAACUUUUUGAUUUUCUCCUCCCUCACAUUCCUCUUCCCCUCCUCGACCACGUCAUAAUUCAAAUUAGGAAACGUUCUGGAAAUUCUCUCAUAAAAAUCCGGAAAAUCUUCCCUCCACCCCCAGCAUUUACAAAUCUCACUUUCCUCCUCACACUCGCACCUCUUCUUCAUCCUCAACCUUCCCACAUCCCACUUUCCCCUCGUGGGGAAGGAAAUAUCCAAACUUCUCAGCGUCUCACAUGGUUCGAGACCCUCAGCCAAAAAUGUUUCAUACAGAAAAAGCAUGGUCGCCUCGAAUUGCAAAUUUGCUUUCGGCUUUUUACAAAAAUUCAACCUCCACUUUGGAAUAUUUUGCGACACCACGCGCACAAUUAGCUUCUCUAAAACGGGAAACUGUUUCCCAUACUCAAGCUUAACCUCGUCCCCACCAGUUUCAAAUUUUAAGUACAAAAAUGGUCUAAACCAUACCGUGCUAGUGUCCGGAAAUACCGUUGGCUCUCUCAAAAUUUCGAAAAUUUUCAACCUGGGCAGAAUCGGGAUCACGAUGUAGGGCGAUACGUGUAUAUUUUUCCGUGGACUAAUAUUUUCCACGUUGGAUAUGCACACGUGUUCCAGCUGAGGUGCGAGGAUAUGAAAUAGGUCAACCCCAUUGGGAAUUGGGUCAUUAACUAGCGUAUUAAAUUCGAAACGGGUCACAUUUUCGAAUUUUUUUUUGCAAAGUGAGCUGAAUUUGAAGUGUUCUAAAAUAGCGUUAUUCCGCGACAAGUGAAACGUUCUUGAGAAAGAGAGCGAUUCGAGAUUAGGCAACGUGUUUCUUUCUACCAGCAUUCCGAUGGGGAAGUCGGUCAUGGCGAAUUUUCUUACGCGGGGGGCGAAAACGGCCAGAAUUCGCAUGACCAGGGGGAUCACGUGCUCCCAUUUCCCGACGUCUCUGUCGGGAUAAAAGCUGGUCAUGUUGACCGAAAAUGUGACCAGUUUUGGCGAGAGGGAUAAAUUAUCGGGGAAUAAGUCUACCCAACCUUCCUCAGACAAAUAAUCCCCUUGCCAACGGUAUUCGAUCGGUUGGAAUUCUAAGGAUUCCAAGUUUUUGAAGGAUUCGCACAUUUUUACUAAACGAGACGCCACGUGGCGUACCGGAGCGUCGAGGGGGAGUUCGAUGCUUAAUUGGGUAACGGUGUUCAAAUUGAGGGAGAUGAGUAGGUCUAUUUUUGGGAGUAACAUGUCCCAAUUUUCGAAACAAAGGGUGAUGAUUUUGAGGUUUGUGGGGGAUAGGUUGGUCAGGGUGACGAGGUCGGGGGAGUCCGUGACGUUGGACGUGGCGUGGAUAUCGAUAGGGUUUCGAGCGAUGAGAUGCUUAAGAGCCUCCAUUUGCCACGUGGUGUUGACGAGAGAUGCAGUUUCUAAGUUGGUGGUGGGGAGGAAGCCCAUGAUUUUUGAAAUUAUCUAGUUAAUAAAUAAAGUUUUUGGGUGUGAAUUAUCGACUGAAUUAUAUUUGGAGCGUACAUAUAUCACGUCAUCCAAAAAGAUGGGUGGGUGGUUUUAAGUCGGAUAUGUUACUCCUGUGAAGCUGAACACGAGUAAGAUAUGAAAGGGGUGGGUGGUUUAAAAUUUUUAGAGUUUUUAUAGCGUAAUAUGUCGACGUUCCUAUGCGAUAAAUAAAAUAAAUUUGUCAAAUAAAAUUAACACUUACUUCGGGCAGGUGUGAAAUUAAGUUGCCCGCUUGGCUAUUGCUUUCCAUUUCGAGGCAGUGAAAAGUUUGGAAGGAUGCUCAAAAUUAGUUGUUAAAGAACGGAAAUAAAUAAAUUUAAAUUUGUAACCUCG
Folsomia candida is the source of this 2971-nucleotide long non-coding RNA. RefSeq lists it as uncharacterized. The transcript is spliced from 2 exons. NCBI's taxonomy places the organism in Eukaryota, Metazoa, Arthropoda, Collembola, Entomobryomorpha, Isotomidae. The record is from RefSeq and is a predicted model, not a curated record.